This 228-nucleotide ribosomal RNA is filed under the name uncultured bacterium. RNAcentral's name for it is "partial 16S ribosomal RNA". It matches the Rfam family "Bacterial small subunit ribosomal RNA", at positions 259 to 504 of the family's 1533-position model. The record is from RNAcentral.
AACGGCUCACCAAGCCGACGAUCAGUAGCCGACCUGAGAGGGUGACCGGCCACAUUGGGACUGAGACACGGCCCAAACUCCUACGGGAGGCAGCAGUGGGGAAUAUUGCACAAUGGAGGAAACUCUGAUGCAGCGACGCCGCGUGAGGGAAGACGGUUUUCGGUAUGUAAAGCUCUAUCAGCAGGGAAGAAACUGACGGUACCUGACUAAGAAGCACCGGCUAAAUAC